This 359-nucleotide ribosomal RNA is filed under the name uncultured bacterium. RNAcentral describes it as "bacterial SSU rRNA". It matches the Rfam family "Bacterial small subunit ribosomal RNA", at positions 29 to 418 of the family's 1533-position model. The record is from RNAcentral.
AACGAACGCUGGCGGCAGGCCUAACACAUGCAAGUCGAACGCUGUAGCAAUACAGAGUGGCAGACGGGUGAGUAACACGCGGGAACAUACCCUUAGGUUCGGAAUAGCUCAGGGAAACUUGAGGUAAUACCGGAUAAGCCCUUACGGGGAAGAUUUAUCGCCAUUGGAUUGGCCCGCGUCUGAUUAGCUAGUUGGUGGGGUAAUGGCUCACCAAGGCGACGAUCAGUAGCUGGCUGAGAGGAUGACCAGCCACACUGGGACUGAGACACGGCCCAGACUCCUACGGGAGGCAGCAGUGGGGAAUAUUGGACAAUGGGCGAAGCCUUAUCCAGCCAUGCCGCGUGAGUGAAGAAGGCCUU